CCGCCGCCAGGUACGUCGGGAACCCAAGCCUUGAGCCCCAGAGACGGAAACUCUGUUCUAGAGUUCCCAGGGUGACGAAUGACACAUCCGGGAGAAUCGACCGAGCUAAUCCCUCAUUUCCUUCCCGUUUCCCCCUUCACCCAUCACCCUGGAUCGCAUGAUGGGUCUGCCCUGGCCGCCGCUUGAUAGUGGAGGGGAGGAAAAAAAGCCUUUUUCCUCUACCCACCUUGGGUUCUCCGGCUGGGGCCCGGGAAAUUGAACUAACAAAAGACAGGCGAGCCGGACAAGGGCAAAACAGACAGAAGUGUAUUAAGGGUGCGAGCGGAAGCCCUCAGGCAAGUGAAACCCGGGCUUCUUAACAAAAGAACAACAUUUGGGGAGAAGUUGACAACUUAAAGGAAAAGGACUUUGAGCUUCUACAGGCAGCAAAUGAUGGGAAGGUAAGUAUAUGGGGACACUAGUGGUAGGUGAGGGCUAGUCUUAAUUUUUUAAAUGUUUGUUUAUUUUGAAAGAGAGAGAGAGAGAGAGAGUGCAAGCAUGAGCAGGGGAGGGGGACAGAGGUGGGGGGGGACAAAGGAUUCAAAGUGGGCUCCACGCUGACAGCAGGGAGCCCGACCUGGGGCUUGAACUCACGGGAACUGGGAGAUCGUGACCUGAGCGGAAUCGGAUACUUAACCAACUGAACCACGCAGGUGCCCCCCGAGGGCUAGUGUUUACCUGGGUUCGUUAUGCAAAUGUCUCCUUGGUGAUAAGGGUCUAGAGUUGUCUUCAGUGAUUAACUUCUGUCCUUCCUGGCAUCAGGGGAGGGGAGACGCCUUUGCAAAUUUCUGUCUUACUUGUUAAGCAAGUAGGGAAAAGGCAGAGAGUUUUUCUCUAAUCUGUUUCUUCUCAGUUGCCCUCAGGUCGAAAUAGUCCUUAUGCCAAAGUGGCAUAUUUUGGGAUGACACAUUCUGCUACCUUCAAUAAUCAGGCCAUUUUAAAUAAGUGUAACCUUAUUCUGCUAUAAGAAUUAUGGCCAGGGAGGGGGACAAAACAUAAGAGACUCUUUACUUUUAUUAUUAUUUUUUUUAAUUCUUUUUUUUUUUAAUUUUUCUUAAUGUUUAUUUUUGAGACACGGAGAGACAGAACAUGAAUGGGGAAGGGUCAGAGAGAGAGGUAGACACAGAAUCCGAAAUGGGCUCCAGGCUCUGAGCUGUCAGCACAGAGCCCCCCACAGACUGUGAGAUCAUGACCUGAGCCGGAGUCGGAAGCUUAAACUGACUGAGCCACCCAGGCGCCCCAAUAAGAGUCUCUUAAAUUUAGGAAACAGAGGGUUGCUGGAGGGGUUGUGGGAAGGGGGAUGGGCUAAAGGGGGAUGGGCUUAAUGGGUAAGGGGCGUUAAGGAAUCUACUUCUGAAAUCAUUGUUGCACUAACUUGGAUGUAAAUUUUAAAUUUUUUUUUCAACGUUUUUUAUUUAUUUUUGGGACAGAGAGAGACAGAGCAUGAACAGGGGAGGGGCAGAGAGAGAGGGAGACACAGAAUCGGAAACAGGCUCCAGGCUCCGAGCCAUCAGCCCAGAGCCUGACGCGGGGCUCGAACUCACGGACCGCGAGAUCGUGACCUGGCUGAAGUCGGACGCUUAACCGACUGCGCCACCCAGGCGCCCUGUUGGAUGUAAAUUUUAAAAUAAAUUAAUUAUUUUUAAAAAUUAAACAUAAAAAAAGAAUUAUAGCCAUACAUUUCCCCCAAAGUCUCUAGUAAUUGGAUAUGCAUAUCACGCAAGUUAAUGUUGAGUAUCAUUUCCCUUGGUGAACCCCUAUCCAUCUUUCACAACCCAGAAGGGGUCACAACCAAGCUAAGAAAUUAAGUAUUCCCUGCCCUUAAACUUGGCAAAGAGCAUUUUCACCAAAGCAAACAAAUGAACAAUGACAACAAAAACCACAGUAACUAUGUGGAGUGUUAAUUACCUUGAGUAUAAUUUCGUAGUGUAUAUAGAUAUCAAAUCAUCACACUAUAUACUUUAAACAUAUUACUUUUCAAAAAUGAGGUACAGGGGCACCUGGGUGGCCUAGUUGGUUAAGCGUUCCACUCUUUUUUUUUUUUUUUUUAAUUUUUUUUUUCAACUUUUUUUUUUUUUUUUUUUUUUAAUUUUUUUUUCAACGUUUUUUAUUUAUUUUUGGGACAGAGAGAGACAGAGCAUGAACGGGGGAGGGGCAGAGAGAGAGGGAGACACAGAAUCGGAAACAGGCUCCAGGCUCCGAGCCAUCAGCCCAGAGCCUGACGCGGGGCUCGAACUCACGGACCGCGAGAUCGUGACCUGGCUGAAGUCGGACGCGUAACCGACUGCGCCACCCAGGCGCCCCAAGCGUUCCACUCUUGAUCUCAGGUCAGGUCAUGAUCUCAUAGUUCGUGAGUUCGAGCCCCGCAUCGGGCUCCACAUUGACCUUGCAAGUCUGCUUGGGAUUCUCUCUCUCCCUCUCUCUCUCUCCGCCCCUCCUCUCUCUCUCUCUCUCUCAAAAUAAAUAAAUAAAAAUUUUUAAGAUAAACCUUUAAAAAAUGACAUAUAGUUAGCACACUCUGUUCCAAUGGUUUCAGGUAUACCCCGUAGUGAUUUGACAAGUGUAUAUGUAAUGUUAUGCUCACAAGCAUAUCCACCAUCCGUCUCCAUACAACACCAUUGCAACACCAUGGACCGUAUUACCUGUGCGGUACUUUCCAUAACUGUAAGCCUGUACCUCCUUCUCCCCUUCACCCAUUUUGCCUAUCUCCCCACCCCCCCAGACAUACUAUGGUUUUACUUGCCUGUGAUACCUCAAUACAGCCGAAAAGUAAAAUAACAAUAAACAGCUAAACAAUGCCUUGUCUAGGUUCCUUUUGCCAUAGAAGUCGCACUUUUAAAACUUUUGAAACACUUGGGGGCGCGUGGGUGGCUCAGUUAGUUAAGCAUUAGGAUUCUCUCUCUCUCUCUCUCUCUCUCUCUCUCUGUCCCCACUCAUGCUCUCUCUCUCUCUCUCAAAUAAAAAAGAAUUAUGAAAAUCCCAUGACAGAAGGUGCAAGAGAACUAGAUGGCUGUUGAUGAAUCAGUAAGGAUAUAAGGAAGAAUUACGGUGAAAUGAACGGAGGACGGACACAGUCUUCAAUGCCACCCAUGUCCUGGAAACCGCGUAGUCGGCUUAUGUAGCAUCACAUGCUGGUAAAUGUCUCUGCCUUCCCGAGUGCGCUCCAGUGCUUGUCAGGACCCGGACAAAGUUGGCGUCAAUGAUGGAUGCCAGUCACAUCUGGGGAGGUCAGAGGUCAGGGAGGGAAGGGGGGGUGGGGCCCAACAUCCCAGGUUGUGUUGUGUUGUGCUAACCUCAAUUUCCAGGAAAUGACUUCAGGAUGAGUAAAAAGUUUGUUGGCCCUCAGUAGAGUCACAAUGAAUUGAAAUAAAA
Molecule: long non-coding RNA, 3411 nt
Filed under: Lynx pardinus (Iberian lynx)
Lineage: Eukaryota; Metazoa; Chordata; Mammalia; Carnivora; Felidae
Source: RNAcentral